Molecule: ribosomal RNA, 632 nt
Filed under: Burkholderia sp. IBb319
Lineage: Bacteria; Pseudomonadati; Pseudomonadota; Betaproteobacteria; Burkholderiales; Burkholderiaceae
Also listed under: 3 other names
Description: bacterial SSU rRNA
Rfam family: Bacterial small subunit ribosomal RNA
Source: RNAcentral
ACCCUGAUCCAGCAAUGCCGCGUGUGUGAAGAAGGCCUUCGGGUUGUAAAGCACUUUUGUCCGGAAAGAAAACCAUCGCCCUAAUAUGGUGGUGGGAUGACGGUACCGGAAGAAUAAGCACCGGCUAACUACGUGCCAGCAGCCGCGGUAAUACGUAGGGUGCGAGCGUUAAUCGGAAUUACUGGGCGUAAAGCGUGCGCAGGCGGUCUGUUAAGACCGAUGUGAAAUCCCCGGGCUUAACCUGGGAACUGCAUUGGUGACUGGCAGGCUUUGAGUGUGGCAGAGGGGGGUAGAAUUCCACGUGUAGCAGUGAAAUGCGUAGAGAUGUGGAGGAAUACCGAUGGCGAAGGCAGCCCCCUGGGCCAACACUGACGCUCAUGCACGAAAGCGUGGGGAGCAAACAGGAUUAGAUACCCUGGUAGUCCACGCCCUAAACGAUGUCAACUAGUUGUUGGGGAUUCAUUUCCUUAGUAACGUAGCUAACGCGUGAAGUUGACCGCCUGGGGAGUACGGUCGCAAGAUUAAAACUCAAAGGAAUUGACGGGGACCCGCACAAGCGGUGGAUGAUGUGGAUUAAUUCGAUGCAACGCGAAAAACCUUACCUACCCUUGACAUGGUCGGAAUCCCGCUGA